UCUCCGUAGGUGAACCUGCGGAGGGAUCAUUACAGAGUUCCCGCCCUCGCGGGUAGAUCUCCCACCCACUGUUAUCGUUACUGUGUUGCUUUGGCGGGCCGCCGGGCCCCGCUCGGCCGCCGGCUCCGGCUGGCGCGCGCCCGCCAGAGGCCCAGCAAACUCUGAAUGUUAGUGUCGUCUGAGUACUAUAUAAUAGUUAAAACUUUCAACAACGGAUCUCUUGGUUCUG
Molecule: unclassified non-coding RNA, 229 nt
Filed under: plant metagenome
Description: partial contains small subunit ribosomal RNA, internal transcribed spacer 1, and 5.8S ribosomal RNA
Source: RNAcentral